CACAUCAAGCUCCUUCCACUACUCACUCACUCCACGAGUACCGCAACCUCACGCGGUCAAAUGAUGGAGAUGGCAAUGUGAUCGUGUGCGUAACUAUACAGCUAAGUUUAUUUAUUGUUAAAAGUGACCAAGAUACAUUACUCUAACAAACGAAUUCGUGUGUUGUGUGAAUAAAGCAAGUGAAGCGUGCUCUGAAUCGCCUUUCCCCCCAGCCCAGGACCUGACAGCAAGGCCUCAGUGGUAAUGGGAGCAGUCUGUUACCGUUGUGCUGCCAUCACUUGUCUCGUUUCCUUCGUUCGCAGUGAGCUCCAGCAGCGUGCAAGGGAACAGCGUCAAGGAGUCGUGGUCCCAGCUCGAGUGGUGGAUUUAUUUCAAUGUCAGCUGUACCAAUUAAGUUUAAUCUUGGCUGGCUACCCUUCCAACUUCCAAGCCCUGCUGGUUCAAUAUUUCCUCGACACGCGCCGCCCCUCCGUCCAGUCAAGAGAGGAAGGGGAACCUACAGGCAAUACACGGGAGGAUCGCCAGUCCAUUAAUCUUCAGGAGUUACUUUGACAUAUUGGUGAAGAUAUAGGCUAUAAUUUAGCGGAUUAUACAUUAAUCCUUCUUUAAAGAACGGGAAUCAGCACUGAGAUCUGGACGAAUGUAGGAGAGGUGGAGCCGGGGCUUGAGGGGAGGUGGACGCAUUUGUUUUGUGACUAUUUAUCAAAGAUCCAUGAGGGACACAUCGGUGAAGGUAAUUGUUGUAUAAACGAUUACUAUGAUUGGUAAUGAAAAGUCUGUAAGUGAUAUAAGUAAAUUCUUUUUCGUUUCAUUUUUAUAUCCUGAUUUUAUCUUUACUUUUUUUUUUUUUAACAUAAAUGCUCACGUUCUACUCAUGUAUUUCUUUUUUUCAAAUAUCCAUUAGGAUUUGGGAAAUCAUCAUCACUACCAUCAUCUUCGUCAUCAUGAUUCCUGUCUC
This is a long non-coding RNA of Scylla paramamosain (green mud crab), 958 nucleotides long. RefSeq lists it as uncharacterized. Lineage: Eukaryota; Metazoa; Arthropoda; Malacostraca; Decapoda; Portunidae. The record is from RefSeq and is a predicted model, not a curated record. The transcript has 3 exons.